RNAcentral lists this ribosomal RNA (252 nucleotides) under uncultured bacterium. RNAcentral describes it as "partial 16S ribosomal RNA". It matches the Rfam family "Bacterial small subunit ribosomal RNA", at positions 524 to 776 of the family's 1533-position model. The record is from RNAcentral.
UACGGGGGGGCAAGCGUUGUUCGGAAUUACUGGGCGUAAAGGGUCUGUAGGUGGCCAACUAAGUCAGACGUGAAAUCCCUCAGCUUAACUGGGGAACUGCGUCUGAUACUGGUUGGCUUGAGUGCAGGAGAGGAAUGCGGAAUUCCAGGUGUAGCGGUGAAAUGCGUAGAUAUCUGGAGGAACACCGGUGGCGAAGGCGGCAUCCUGGACCAACACUGACGCUGAGGAGCGAAAGCCAGGGGAGCAAACGGG